RNAcentral lists this ribosomal RNA (210 nucleotides) under Astrosyne radiata. RNAcentral describes it as "partial Bacterial large subunit ribosomal RNA". It matches the Rfam family "Bacterial large subunit ribosomal RNA", at positions 1 to 222 of the family's 2925-position model. Lineage: Eukaryota; Bacillariophyta; Fragilariophyceae; Cyclophorales; Cyclophoraceae. The record is from RNAcentral.
CGAAUAAGCGUAUAUGGUGGAUGCCUAGGCAGUUGGAGGCGAUGAAGGACGUUGUGGUCUGCGAUAUGCACGGGGGAGCUGACGAACAAGCGAUAUAUCCCGUGAUUUCCGAAUGGGGAAACCCACCUCCUAGAGGUAUCUCAUACUGAAUACAUAGGUAUGAGAAGCUAACCCGGUGAACUGAAUCAUCUAAGUAACCGGAGGAAAAGA